Chelonia mydas (Green sea turtle) is the source of this 429-nucleotide long non-coding RNA. RefSeq lists it as uncharacterized. NCBI's taxonomy places the organism in Eukaryota, Metazoa, Chordata, Testudines, Cheloniidae. The record is from RefSeq and is a predicted model, not a curated record. The transcript has 3 exons.
UGCUUAUGAAAUGUGCCACUUUGACAACCCUGGAGAAUGAAACCCUCCAUUAAUGCCCAGAAUGCUUAAAGCACAGGUGGCCACAGGGCUUUCUUACCCACAAUGCACACCUGAGGGACCUGCUCUUGGGAUAAGCAUGUAACUCUGUUUCCAUGAGUCUCAAGUGACACUACCAACAAGGAUGUCAGCUAACACCAGUUAAUACAGACUCUCACUGACCAGCUUAACUCAAUUAUUAUGGCCCAGAAGCAUCAUUCCAUGAUGUCAUAACUUCCAGAAAGCUGCAGCAAUAAUGAGUCAACCCAACAGGGAGACAGAAAGGCUUCUUUUUGAUCCUGCCUGAACUGCUCAAGGUACAGCACCCUAGCAGAAGAAGAGACCAGCAUACUAGGGCUCCUUAUAUAUCCAAUAAAACCCUUGUUUAUUUUC